AUGGGGAUUUCGGACUGGUGGGAUUCGUUCACCACCAAUUUGCCCAAGGACAACGGAAGAAGGCGGAGCGGCCGCUUCCUUUACACCAUCUGGAACAUCUGGAAGGAGCAAAACCGACGCAUCUUCAAUGGAACUCGCCUCACGCACCUAGAGGUAGCAGCUAUUGCCUUCGACGACAUCAAGCAAAGGACUUUGGCCUUUGGCCGAGCACAGGUGGCAGCCGGUAUCGGUUGA
Molecule: ribosomal RNA, 234 nt
Filed under: Triticum aestivum (bread wheat)
Lineage: Eukaryota; Viridiplantae; Streptophyta; Magnoliopsida; Poales; Poaceae
Description: partial small subunit ribosomal RNA
Source: RNAcentral